GUAGGAGGCGAGCGUUAUCCGGAUUCACUGGGCGUAAAGCGCGUGCAGGCGGUUUGGUAAGUUGGGCGUGAAAGCUCCCGGCUCAACUGGGAGAGGUCGUUCAAUACUACCGAACUAGAGAACAGAAGAGGAAGAUGGAAUUCCCGGUGUAGUGGUGAAAUGCGUAGAUAUCGGGAGGAACACCAGUGGCGAAGGCGAUCUUCUGGUCUGUUUCUGACGCUCAGACGCGACAGCUAGGGUAGUAAACGGGAUUAGAGACCCCGGUAAUCCUAGCCGUAAACGAUGUGAACUUGGCGUCGGUGGCUUAAACACCAUCGGUGCCGAAGCAAACGCGAUAAGUUCACCGCCUGGGGACUACGGCCGCAAGGUUAAA
RNAcentral lists this ribosomal RNA (373 nucleotides) under uncultured bacterium. Its description in RNAcentral is "bacterial SSU rRNA". It matches the Rfam family "Bacterial small subunit ribosomal RNA", at positions 527 to 898 of the family's 1533-position model. The record is from RNAcentral.